GCUCAGAGUAUAAGCCAAUGGAGCUUGGAAGGCUUCCGCAGAUGGUGUCCAUCAUACGUGGUGUUCUUAAGACCUUGAGUGUGGCUCGUGAAGCGAAGCAUUGAGUUUGCCGACCAGCUGUCGUGCGGGGGGUUCAGCUUGGAAGGGUUGGGUUUCGGUCCAACAGUUUUCCUUCUGUCCCCUUUUGAAUGGACGUUCAGAGCUCUUGGUCUAAUGCGGUUAUGCCCACCACAGCACGUUGUGAGGUCACCCACAGGCUCAAACUGCCGAUCGCGCAUCCAGGACGAUGGCAACGAUGCGUUGUCGAUGAUGGCUCGAGAGAGACUUCACUCACACGCGUGUCUAGUCCUGGGUCGGGCGGCGACCGAGAUAAACCUGGUACGAUCCUCUUGCGACGAGCUGCUUUCUGGCCAGACCGACGCCCGGACGCCUCCACUGUGCCGGAAGCGUCAACCCCAGGCGGUGUGAACCCAGCUGCAUUAUGCAAGGUCUCUCAGCCGGGCGUUGGUCUGAGUGGUGUUAAGUCCAGCACCAUCGGUCACGUCUCGAAACACGGGCCAAGGAGUAUAGCAUGUGUGCAAGUCUAAGGGUCUCACAAAACCCGAAGGCGAAGUGAAAGCAAGACUGUGGCGGGGGAGCUACGGCAAACCCGCCGGCCUAGUGGCGCGUGCGUCGCCUGGCUUUUAGCAGAGCUGAUCCUGUUUUCUCGGUUAAUUCUUGGUGCAGGCGCAAGCUCCGGGCUCACGUACAACACUGGUCACGCCUCGCG
RNAcentral lists this ribosomal RNA (769 nucleotides) under Niphargus stygius. Its description in RNAcentral is "partial large subunit ribosomal RNA". Lineage: Eukaryota; Metazoa; Arthropoda; Malacostraca; Amphipoda; Niphargidae. The record is from RNAcentral.